UAGGGAAUCUUCGGCAAUGGGGGGAACCCUGACCGAGCAACGCCGCGUGAGUGAAGAAGGUUUUCGGAUCGUAAAGCUCUGUUGUUAAUGAAGAACGAGUGUGAGAAUGGAAAGUUCAUGCUGUGACGGUACUUAACCAGAAAGGGACGGCUAACUACGUGCCAGCAGCCGCGGUAAUACGUCGGUCCCGAGCGUCGUCCGGAUUUAUUGGGCGUAAAGCGAGCGCAGGCGGUUAGAAAAGUCUGAAGUGAAAGGCAGUGGCUCAACCAUUGUAGGCUUUGGAAACUGUUUAACUUGAGUGCAGAAGGGGAGGGUGGAAUUCCAUGUGUAGCGGUGAAAUGCGUAGAUAUAUGGAGGAACACCGGUGGCGAAAGCGGCUCUCUGGUCUGUAACUGACGCUGAGGCUCGAAAGCGUGGGGAGCGAACAGG
RNAcentral lists this ribosomal RNA (429 nucleotides) under Bacteroidota bacterium. Its description in RNAcentral is "Bacteroidetes bacterium partial 16S ribosomal RNA". It matches the Rfam family "Bacterial small subunit ribosomal RNA", at positions 355 to 776 of the family's 1533-position model. The record is from RNAcentral. Lineage: Bacteria; Pseudomonadati; Bacteroidota.